This 205-nucleotide unclassified non-coding RNA is filed under the name uncultured Basidiomycota. Its description in RNAcentral is "sequence contains ITS2". Lineage: Eukaryota; Fungi; Basidiomycota. RNAcentral also lists the same sequence under 1 other name. The record is from RNAcentral.
AAUUCUCAAUCCUGUUUAGCUCUUGCAGCUGAUCAGGCUUGGAUUGUGGGAGGUUUCUGCAGGCUUCACUCCAGAAGUCUGCUCUCCUGAAAUACAUUAGCGUAGAACCUCUUUGCGGUAUUUUGGUGUGAUAAUUAUCUAUGCCAUGUCUGCGAAGUGAAGGUUUGGCUUCCAAUGGUCUCGGCGAGACAAAAUUCAUGACCUU